AAACUUAACACAACUGGUAGCAUUGGAUCCCUUGGCACGCCAUUCGAUGAAGAACGUUGCAAACUGCGAUAAGUGAUGUGAAAUGCGAGUCCAAAACUUAUACGUGAAUCAUCGAAUCUUUGAACGCAUUGCAUCGAGCUUUGCCCAAGCACGAUAUGCCCCAUUGAGC
Molecule: ribosomal RNA, 169 nt
Filed under: uncultured fungus
Lineage: Eukaryota; Fungi
Description: 5.8S ribosomal RNA
Rfam family: 5.8S ribosomal RNA
About the family: 5.8S ribosomal RNA (5.8S rRNA) is a component of the large subunit of the eukaryotic ribosome. It is transcribed by RNA polymerase I as part of the 45S precursor that also contains 18S and 28S rRNA.
Source: RNAcentral